CCCUUAGAUGUUCUGGGCCGCACGCGCGCUACACUGACUGACUCAACGAGUGUACAACCUGCUUCGACAGAAGUGGGUAAUCUUUUGAAAUUCAGUCGUGAUGGGGCUAGAUUAUUGCAACUAUUAAUCUUCAACGAGGAAUGCCUAGUAAGCGCGAAUCAUCAGUUCGCGUUGAUUACGUCCCUGCCCUUUGUACACACCGCCCGUCGCUCCUACCGAUUGAAUGGUCCGGUGAAAUCUUCGGAUCUGAGAGAUGUCUGAUUAAUUUCGGACGCCUUUUGGAAAAGUUGCUUAAACCUUACCAUUUAGAGGAAGGUGAAGUCGUAACA
Molecule: ribosomal RNA, 329 nt
Filed under: uncultured eukaryote
Lineage: Eukaryota
Description: partial 18S ribosomal RNA
Rfam family: Eukaryotic small subunit ribosomal RNA
Source: RNAcentral